UACGUAGGGGGCAAGCGUUGUCCGGAAUCAUUGGGCGUAAAGCGCGUGUAGGCGGUCCGGUAAGUCCGCUGUGAAAGUCGGGGGCUCAACCCUGGGAUGCCGGUGGAUACUGUCGGGCUCGAGUCCGGAAGAGGAGUGUGGAAUUCCUGGUGUAGCGGUGAAAUGCGCAGAUAUCAGGAGGAACACCAAUGGCGAAGGCAGCACUCUGGGACGUGACUGACGCUGAGACGCGAAAGCGUGGGGAGCAAACAGG
RNAcentral lists this ribosomal RNA (253 nucleotides) under uncultured bacterium. Its description in RNAcentral is "partial 16S ribosomal RNA". It matches the Rfam family "Bacterial small subunit ribosomal RNA", at positions 524 to 776 of the family's 1533-position model. The record is from RNAcentral.